RNAcentral lists this transfer RNA (85 nucleotides) under Felis catus (domestic cat). It matches the Rfam family "tRNA". From Rfam's summary of the family: Transfer RNA (tRNA) molecules are approximately 80 nucleotides in length. Lineage: Eukaryota; Metazoa; Chordata; Mammalia; Carnivora; Felidae. The record is from Rfam by way of RNAcentral.
ACCUGGGUGGCUCAGUCGGUUGAGCGUCCGACUUCGGCUCAGGUCAUGAUCUCACAGUUCGUGGGUUCGAGCCCCGCCUUGGGCU